RNAcentral lists this ribosomal RNA (254 nucleotides) under uncultured bacterium. Its description in RNAcentral is "partial 16S ribosomal RNA". It matches the Rfam family "Bacterial small subunit ribosomal RNA", at positions 524 to 776 of the family's 1533-position model. The record is from RNAcentral.
UACGGGGGGAGCAAGCGUUGUUCGGAUUUACUGGGCGUAAAGGGCGCGUAGGCGGCCUCCGCAAGUCAGUUGUGAAAUCUCCGAGCUUAACUCGGAAAGGUCAACUGAUACUGCGGGGCUAGAGUGCGGAAGGGGCAACUGGAAUUCUUGGUGUAGCGGUGAAAUGCGUAGAUAUCAAGAGGAACACCUGCGGCGAAGGCGGGUUGCUGGGCCGACACUGACGCUGAGGCGCGAAAGCUAGGGUAGCAAACGGG